GAUGAACGCUGGCGGUGUGCCUAAUACAUGCAAGUCGUACGCAUUCUCGUUUCUGAUUGACGGUGCUUGCACCUAAUUGACGAGACAUUGGAAUGAGUGGCGGACGGGUGAGUAACACGUGGGUAACCUGCCCAGAAGCGGGGGAUAACAUUUGGAAACAGAUGCUAAUACCGCAUAAAAGUCAAAACCACAUGGUUUUGAUUUAAAAGAUGGCCUUUGUGCUAUCACUUCUGGAUGGACCCGCGGCGUAUUAGCUAGUUGGUAAGGUAAUGGCUUACCAAGGCAAUGAUACGUAGCCGAACUGAGAGGUUGAUCGGCCACAAUGGGACUGAGACACGGCCCAUACUCCUACGGGAGGCAGCAGUAGGGAAUCUUCCACAAUGGGCGCAAGCCUGAUGGAGCAACACCGCGUGAGUGAAGAAGGGUUUCGGCUCGUAAAACUCUGUUGUUAAAGAAGAACGUAUCUAAGAGUAACUGCUUAGGUAGUGACGGUAUUUAAUCAGAAAGCCACGGCUAACUACGUGCCAGCCGCCGCCUAA
RNAcentral lists this ribosomal RNA (539 nucleotides) under uncultured bacterium. RNAcentral's name for it is "partial 16S ribosomal RNA". It matches the Rfam family "Bacterial small subunit ribosomal RNA", at positions 28 to 522 of the family's 1533-position model. The record is from RNAcentral.